Molecule: ribosomal RNA, 742 nt
Filed under: Salmonella enterica subsp. enterica serovar Infantis
Lineage: Bacteria; Pseudomonadati; Pseudomonadota; Gammaproteobacteria; Enterobacterales; Enterobacteriaceae
Also listed under: 2 other names
Description: partial 23S ribosomal RNA
Rfam family: Bacterial large subunit ribosomal RNA
Source: RNAcentral
GCAGUGUACCCGCGGCAAGACGGAAAGACCCCGUGAACCUUUACUAUAGCUUGACACUGAACAUUGAGCCUUGAUGUGUAGGAUAGGUGGGAGGCUUUGAAGCGUGGACGCCAGUCUGCGUGGAGCCGACCUUGAAAUACCACCCUUUAAUGUUUGAUGUUCUAACGUGGAUCCGUAAUCCGGGUUGCGGACAGUGUCUGGUGGGUAGUUUGACUGGGGCGGUCUCCUCCUAAAGAGUAACGGAGGAGCACGAAGGUUGGCUAAUCCUGGUCGGACAUCAGGAGGUUAGUGCAAUGGCAUAAGCCAGCUUGACUGCGAGCGUGACGGCGCGAGCAGGUGCGAAAGCAGGUCAUAGUGAUCCGGUGGUUCUGAAUGGAAGGGCCAUCGCUCAACGGAUAAAAGGUACUCCGGGGAUAACAGGCUGAUACCGCCCAAGAGUUCAUAUCGACGGCGGUGUUUGGCACCUCGAUGUCGGCUCAUCACAUCCUGGGGCUGAAGUAGGUCCCAAGGGUAUGGCUGUUCGCCAUUUAAAGUGGUACGCGAGCUGGGUUUAGAACGUCGUGAGACAGUUCGGUCCCUAUCUGCCGUGGGCGCUGGAGAACUGAGGGGGGCUGCUCCUAGUACGAGAGGACCGGAGUGGACGCAUCACUGGUGUUCGGGUUGUCAUGCCAAUGGCACUGCCCGGUAGCUAAAUGCGGAAGAGAUAAGUGCUGAAAGCAUCUAAGCACGAAACUUGCCCCGA